Long non-coding RNA from Alligator sinensis (Chinese alligator), 914 nucleotides. RefSeq lists it as uncharacterized. The record is from RefSeq and is a predicted model, not a curated record. The transcript is spliced from 3 exons. Lineage: Eukaryota; Metazoa; Chordata; Crocodylia; Alligatoridae.
AAAGGUUAAAACACAUGAGAUAAAAUCCUGGUCCACUGGAACUGAUUUUUAAAGUAUUUUCAGUCAAAUAUGAAGCUAUAAGCCAUUUAAAAAUAAAUGCUUUGAAUAUUCCAAGACUUUUUAAAGCAACCUGUAUUUUUUUUUGAUGUGUGGUGCAACUGCAGUCUGUUAUGCACACUCCCAAUGACUGUGUUGUUCACAGGGCAUUCAUUAUAACUGUAUUUUCAGCUGUUUAUUUCAACAGGUAUUAAAGUUAAUGUAAAGGCCUCAUGAGAAGUGAGGUUUUUUAAAUAGUUGUCAACCCCUUUGAUGAAGUAUAUCAGAGGCAGACAGUGGCAAAAAAAGGCUUUUAAAGCAGAAAACCAUUAACGUUGUCUAUUACUUGUGCAAUAUUCCUAAACAUUUCCAAGCCCCAUUGCCAGAUCUGUCCCUGCCACACCUACCAAGCGUGCCAGAUUGGGCCCACUGGUAGGAUUCAGCCCACAGAUGGACCUGGCACUGCCCAUCCAGCCUGUGGGAUGAAAAGGUUGGGCACUAGUGAUGCAGAACAUGGCCUAGGAUGUUUGGUGAAGCAAAUAUUCAAUGGAAAAAAAAACAUUUCCUUGUUCACUCUGCUACUUGAUCCUCUCUGCUUCUAUAGCCCCAUCUCUCCAUCCUCCUCCAAAAGCUUCUCUCUCUCUCUGUCAGUUUACUAUCAUCAAUCAGCCUUGCCUAUUACAGAAGGAAUGCAAACGUUUGGGGUCCUACUCACUCUCCAACUCCAGUGACAGUGACUCCUUGUUGUAGCUGUAGAAACCUUCCUUCUAGAAAUGGAAAACUGGGAGACAGCCAUCUCCAGAAUGCUUCAGCAUGGCUUCCUGAGUAGAUUAUGUUCUAGACUUCAAUGGGGUUACUCGCACCAUAUCACACAUGCU